This 802-nucleotide long non-coding RNA is filed under the name Nicotiana benthamiana. RNAcentral's name for it is "long non-coding RNA (NBEN_LNC028955)". Lineage: Eukaryota; Viridiplantae; Streptophyta; Magnoliopsida; Solanales; Solanaceae. The record is from RNAcentral.
UCCCAUUAAAAAACCUAGGGCCGCCGUAACCUUCUUCUCCACCCUACGGCCACUAACCAACUCCCCUAUUCUCGUCCCCAGCCGCACCUUCUGUUUCUUUUCGAGACUUCGCAGUGCUAAAUUACAGAAAAAGGAGGCAACAAGAGAAGUAUAAUUUUAGCUUCUUUCGUUCAUUCUCACCUAGGGAAAUCGAGUUCAGAUUCCAACAAAAAGUCAAAAAUACAAAAGAAAAAAUAUAUUUUGUUCUUCAUUUUGAAUUUCGGGUUUUGGUUUUAAAACGGAUUUCGCUUAAGGUUGCUGAAGUUGGUUUCGAGUACUUCUGUUACCGAUCGAGGUUUCCGGUUCAAUUGCUCGUUUAAGUAUCUGCUGAUGCGUCGUUAUUGGUUGUUCUUUUGUUAAUCCAGAAUCGAAAGAUUUCGACAGUGAGGUCAAUUUCUCAUCUUAUUCCUAAUUAAUUUUGAGUAUUAGUGCCUACUUGAAUUUUGAGCAUGAAUGAGGUCCUAUUUCAAGCAUGCUAUCAUCUUUCCCUUAAUCUUCAUGUUGUCUGCUUAUAUUAUUGCUAUUGCGAAUUAGUAUGUUAAAAACAGAUACAUCUUUCCCUUAAUCUUCAUGUUGUCUACUUAUAUUAUUGCUAUUGCGAAUUAGUAUGUUAAAAACAGAUAUUUGGUGAAAAAAUGUUGAAAUUGGAUAAAAGUGGGUCGUGGGAUGUUGCGUUAAAAUGAAACAAAAAUUGGAAUUGUAAUAUUUACCACUUUUAUUACUUGUCCAUCUCUAUGAGCAUGCUAGGCCAACAUCAUUUGGG